Molecule: ribosomal RNA, 468 nt
Filed under: uncultured bacterium
Lineage: Bacteria
Description: partial 16S ribosomal RNA
Rfam family: Bacterial small subunit ribosomal RNA
Source: RNAcentral
GACGAACGCUGGCGGCGUGCUUAACACAUGCAAGUCGAACGGAAAGGCCCUGCUUUUGUGGGGUGCUCGAGUGGCGAACGGGUGAGUAACACGUGAGUAACCUGCCCUUGACUUUGGGAUAACUUCAGGAAACUGGGGCUAAUACCGGAUAGGAGCUCCUGCUGCAUGGUGGGGGUUGGAAAGUUUCGGCGGUUGGGGAUGGACUCGCGGCUUAUCAGCUUGUUGGUGGGGUAGUGGCUUACCAAGGCUUUGACGGGUAGCCGGCCUGAGAGGGUGACCGGCCACAUUGGGACUGAGAUACGGCCCAGACUCCUACGGGAGGCAGCAGUGGGGAAUAUUGCGCAAUGGGCGGAAGCCUGAUGCAGCAACGCCGCGUGCGGGAUGACGGCCUUCGGGUUGUAAACCGCUUUCGCCUGUGGCGAAGCGUGAGUGACGGUAAUGGGUAAAGAAGCACCGGCUAACUACGUG